GAUGAAGAACGUAGCGAAUUGCGAUAUGUAAUGUGAAUUGCAGAAUUCAGUGAAUCAUCGAAUCUUUGAACGCACAUUGCGCCCCUUGGUAUCCCGAGGGGCAUGCCUGUUCGAGCGUCAUUUCACCACUCAAGCCUGGCUUGGUGUUGGGCGACGUCCCCUUUGGGGACGCGCCUCGAAACGCUCGGCGGCGUGGCACCGGCUUUAAGCGUAGCAGAAUCUUUCGCUUUGGAAGUCGGGGCCCCGUCUGCCGGAAGACCUACUCGCAAGGUUGACCUCGGAUCAGGCAGGGAUACCCGCUGAACUUAAGCAUAUCAAUAAGCGGAGGA
This 329-nucleotide unclassified non-coding RNA is filed under the name soil metagenome. RNAcentral describes it as "partial contains 5.8S ribosomal RNA, internal transcribed spacer 2, and large subunit ribosomal RNA". The stretch from base 1 to 120 matches the Rfam family "5.8S ribosomal RNA", at positions 35 to 154 of the family's 154-position model. The record is from RNAcentral.